ACGCUCGACACCUACGGGAGCAGCAGUGGGGAAUAUUGCACAAUGGGGGAAACCCUGAUGCAGCGACGCCGCGUGAAGGAAGAAGUAUCUCGGUAUGUAAACUUCUAUCAGCAGGGAAGAAAAUGACGGUACCUGACUAAGAAGCCCCGGCUAACUACGUGUCAGCAGCCGCGGUAAUCUGAGCGGGCUGGCAAGGC
This 197-nucleotide ribosomal RNA is filed under the name uncultured bacterium. RNAcentral describes it as "partial 16S ribosomal RNA". It matches the Rfam family "Bacterial small subunit ribosomal RNA", at positions 328 to 539 of the family's 1533-position model. The record is from RNAcentral.